CCUACGGGUGGCAGCAGUGGGGAAUAUUGGACAAUGGGCGCAAGCCUGAUCCAGCCAUGCCGCGUGUGUGAAGAAGGCCUUCGGGUUGUAAAGCACUUUCAGUGGGGAAGAAAGCCUUGGGGCUAAUACCCUCGAGGAAGGACAUCACCCACAGAAGAAGCACCGGCUAACUCCGUGCCAGCAGCCGCGGUAAUACGGAGGGUGCGAGCGUUAAUCGGAAUUACUGGGCGUAAAGCGCGCGUAGGCGGUCUGAUAAGCCGGUUGUGAAAGCCCCGGGCUCAACCUGGGAACGGCAUCCGGAACUGGCAGGCUAGAGUGCAGGAGAGGAAGGUAGAAUUCCCGGUGUAGCGGUGAAAUGCGUAGAGAUCGGGAGGAAUACCAGUGGCGAAGGCGGCCUUCUGGACUGACACUGACGCUGAGGUGCGAAAGCGUGGGUAGCAAACAGGAUUAAAUCCCCCGGUAGUC
Molecule: ribosomal RNA, 465 nt
Filed under: Vreelandella stevensii
Lineage: Bacteria; Pseudomonadati; Pseudomonadota; Gammaproteobacteria; Oceanospirillales; Halomonadaceae
Description: partial 16S ribosomal RNA
Rfam family: Bacterial small subunit ribosomal RNA
Source: RNAcentral